Long non-coding RNA from Lacerta agilis (Sand lizard), 492 nucleotides. RefSeq lists it as uncharacterized. NCBI's taxonomy places the organism in Eukaryota, Metazoa, Chordata, Lepidosauria, Squamata, Lacertidae. The record is from RefSeq and is a predicted model, not a curated record. The transcript has 3 exons.
UUCCCCAGCUCUAGGUAGAGAUGCUAUUGCGGAAUAAAGCAAGAUUCUAGUCUUCAUCGUUCUGAACAGAGGGCUCAAUUAAAUAGGAAUCCACCUUUGAGCAAGUCAGACCGUUGAUCUAUCUAACUCAGUAUUGUCUACUCUGACUGGCAGCAUCUCUUCAGGGUUAAAGAUAAGGGUAUUUCCCAGUUUUACUUGGAGAUGCUGCCAUACCCUUCCACCCAAAAUAUAGCAAGAGCCUAGUCCUCACAGUUCUGUUCUGUUAAAAGGCUGCAAAAAAGGUGACUUUCAAAGAGUGACAAUGAUCUGAAACAGUGAACUCAGCACAACUGAAUGACAGCCAUGAACCAACAGAACAGCAGGGCUAAAGCAGAAGAAUGUGGCAAGCUUAGGUUAAGUUCUCAUCUAGAACAUUUAGAUAAUUUCUCCAUACUGGCUGAUGUGACUGAAGCAGAAGGGAAAUCGCUGUACUGUUGUUAAUAAAAAAAAUAA